AGAGCCCAGCACUUCUGGCCACCUCCACCCAUGUGGCCUGGAUCACCUCUGUGGCCCAGUCUGUCCUUCUUUUCAGAUCUGUUGGUCAACCACGGCUACCUAGGCCCUCACAACCAUGCCCCAGGCCACCACCUUCUGGCACUGCAGGAGUCCAAAACUGUGCGGAUAGCAAUACUGGAAACCCUGGGGAAAUGUACUUAUUUCAACUGGAAACUAUUCAAAAGAAGAGUUGACAGUUUGUGGUUACCAUUUUGGAUCACUGGUUGAGAACAGAUUCAGUUUUGUGACACAUUAUGCUGUUUAAACUGAUGAGGCUCUAAAACUUGAUGUUUACAGAUAAACAAACCUUAAAGAUCCAGUGAAUUUGAUGAGCAGGACCACAAAUAUGUCAAAUAAAGUGUAUUCUAUUCUUGAGUAGUCUCA
This 423-nucleotide long non-coding RNA is filed under the name Mus spicilegus (steppe mouse). Its description in RNAcentral is "lncRNA (ENSMSIG00000018104.1)". Lineage: Eukaryota; Metazoa; Chordata; Mammalia; Rodentia; Muridae. The record is from RNAcentral.